GGCACUAAAGGGAAUAAAAGUGCUAUUUUAAGUCAUUUGGCAACAGAGAUUUCCAGCAAUAUAUCUCAAUGUGGAGUUUGUCUGGCAUAUUAAUGACUGCCCUGUAAGGAAGCAUACCCUUGCAGGACAGAUGAAAGCGCAAUACAAAGUCUAUGCCAAUUAAUUCAAGCUUUUCAUUCUCUCCAAGAUCAUUUUUUUUUUUUACAUGGAGAAAGCCUCUAAUUCUGUAUUUUAGAAAGAGAAAAGUAU
Molecule: non-coding RNA, 249 nt
Organism: Pelobates cultripes (western spadefoot toad)
Lineage: Eukaryota; Metazoa; Chordata; Amphibia; Anura; Pelobatidae
Source: the annotation of a GenBank genome assembly